UGGGGAAUAUUGCACAAUGGGCGCAAGCCUGAUGCAGCCAUGCCGCGUGUAUGAAGAAGGCCUUCGGGUUGUAAAGUACUUUCAGUCGGGAAGAAGGUGUCAAGGUUAAUAACCUUGGCAAUUGACGUUACCGACAGAAGAAGCACCGGCUAACUCCGUGCCAGCAGCCGCGGUAAUACGGAGGGUGCAAGCGUUAAUCGGAAUUACUGGGCGUAAAGCGCACGCAGGCGGUUGAUUGAGUCAGAUGUGAAAUCCCCGGGCUUAACCCGGGAAUUGCAUCUGAUACUGGUCAGCUAGAGUCUUGUAGAGGGGGGUAGAAUUCCAUGUGUAGCGGUGAAAUGCGUAGAGAUGUGGAGGAAUACCGGUGGCGAAGGCGGCCCCCUGGACAAAGACUGACGCUCAGGUGCGAAAGCGUGGGGAGCAAACAGG
RNAcentral lists this ribosomal RNA (429 nucleotides) under Chloroflexota bacterium. RNAcentral describes it as "Chloroflexi bacterium partial 16S ribosomal RNA". It matches the Rfam family "Bacterial small subunit ribosomal RNA", at positions 355 to 776 of the family's 1533-position model. Lineage: Bacteria; Bacillati; Chloroflexota. The record is from RNAcentral.